CCUACGGGAGGCAGCAGUGGGGAAUAUUGCACAAUGGGCGAAAGCCUGAUGCAGCAACGCCGCGUGAGUGAUGAAGGCCUUCGGGUUGUAAAGCUCUGUCUUAUGGGACGAUAAUGACGGUACCAGAGGAGGAAGCCACGGCUAACUACGUGCCAGCAGCCGCGGUAAU
RNAcentral lists this ribosomal RNA (169 nucleotides) under uncultured Clostridium sp. RNAcentral describes it as "partial 16S ribosomal RNA". It matches the Rfam family "Bacterial small subunit ribosomal RNA", at positions 338 to 524 of the family's 1533-position model. The record is from RNAcentral. Lineage: Bacteria; Bacillati; Bacillota; Clostridia; Eubacteriales; Clostridiaceae.